This is a long non-coding RNA of Neogale vison (American mink), 119 nucleotides long. RefSeq lists it as uncharacterized. The transcript has 3 exons. The record is from RefSeq and is a predicted model, not a curated record. Lineage: Eukaryota; Metazoa; Chordata; Mammalia; Carnivora; Mustelidae.
CCAGGUACAGCCAGGAAGCAAACACACAGAAAAUGAGGCACAGAAGUCACAGAAGCUACAUCCUGAGAAGAAGUGGAGGAGGCCAUACAAAUUUUAUACCUCUGAACAAGGAUUUGGUU